Long non-coding RNA from Clupea harengus (Atlantic herring), 1028 nucleotides. Lineage: Eukaryota; Metazoa; Chordata; Actinopteri; Clupeiformes; Clupeidae. The record is from Ensembl.
AAGAAAGGAAAGAAGAGUGGAAGAAGUAAAGAAGAAGGAAAGAAGAAAAGAAAGAAGAGUGAAGAAAGAAAAGAAGAGUGGAAGAAGGAAAGAAGAAAAAAAAGAAAAGUGAAAGAAGGAAAGAAGGAAAGAAGAGUGAAAGAAGGAAAAAAGAGUGGAAGAAGGAAAGAAGAAAAGAAAGAAGAGUGAAAGAAGGAAAGAAGAGUGGAAGAAGAAAAGAAGAAGGAAAGAAGAGUGAAGAAAGAAAAGAAGAGUAGAAGAAGGAAAGAAGAGUGGAAGAAGGAAAGAAGAGUGAAGAAAGAAAAGAAGAGUAGAAGAAGGAAAGAAGAGUGGAAGAAGGAAAGAAGAAAGGAAAGGAGAGUGGAAGAAGGAAAGAAGAGUGGAAGAACGAAAGAAGAAGAGUGGAAGAAGGAAAGAAUAAUAUUCCUAGUUAUACAGUUGAAUGGAGAGGGACAGAGAGAAGAGGAGCCUUGGAACCUUGGCGCAGGUGUCAGUGAAGCACAGGUGCAAGCCAGUUUAAUGACCCUAUUAUGAUGUCAUAAUGGCCCAAUGUAAAUCAAUGGGAAAAUUUGUAUUAGUUUUUCUUUAAUAUCUUAAAAAGUAUAAAGUUUAGAAAAGUGAAAAAUACAUAGCAUAAGUGUCCUUUACAAGACCUACGCGCCAAAGUUUGAACGAAGUUUUUAAGUUAAGCGGUUCAAGCUGAAUUAAGCGCAGAAGUUCGGUAAAGAGAAUAAUAAUAACUAGAAAAUGCAUUUCCUGAAGGAAAUACCAGUGCAUGAAAUGCAAAAGUUAAGAAAGGAAGAAAAAAAAAGAAGAGUGAAAGAAGGAAAGAAGAAGAGUGAAGAGGGAAAAUAUUGAAAGAAGGAGAGAAAAUGGAGUGAAGCAGAGAGAUGGAGUGUGAGAGAAAGUAGAGUGAGAGGGAUAGAGAGAAAGAUAGAGAGAAAAAAAAGUAGAGUAUGGAAGGUGUCUCUUAAUAUUCCUAGUUAUACAGUUGAAUGGAGAGGGACAGAGAGAAGAGGAGCCUUGGA